This 889-nucleotide ribosomal RNA is filed under the name uncultured bacterium. RNAcentral's name for it is "bacterial SSU rRNA". It matches the Rfam family "Bacterial small subunit ribosomal RNA", at positions 505 to 1397 of the family's 1533-position model. The record is from RNAcentral.
GUGCCAGCAGCCGCGGUAAUACGGAAGGUCCGGGCGUUAUCCGGAUUUAAUUGGGUUUAAAGGGAGCGCAGGCUGAUGAUUAAGCGUGUUGUGAAAUGUACCGGCUCAACCGGUGACCUGCAGCGCGAACUGGUUGUCUUGAGUGGGUGCGACGUCGGCGGAAUUCGUGGUGUAGCGGUGAAAUGCUUAGAUAUCACGAAGAACCCCGAUUGCGAAGGCAGCUGACGAGUCCCUUACUGACGCUAAAGCUCGAAGGUGCGGUAUCGAACAGGAUUAGAUACCCUGGUAGUCCGCACGGUAAACGAUGGAUGCCCGCUGUUGGCGAUACAUUGUCAGCGGCCAAGCGAAAGCGUUAAGCAUCCCACCUGGGGAGUACGCCGGCAACGGUGAAACUCAAAGGAAUUGACGGGGGCCCGCACAAGCGGAGGAACAUGUGGUUUAAUUCGAUGAUACGCGAGGAACCUUACCCGGGCUUGAACUGCAGAGGAAGGAAUGAGAGAUCAUGACGCCCUUCGGGGCCUCUGUGGAGGUGCUGCAUGGUUGUCGUCAGCUCGUGCCGUGAGGUGUCGGCUUAAGUGCCAUAACGAGCGCAACCCCUCUUGUCAGUUGCCAUCAGGUGAUGCUGGGCACUCUGGCGAUACUGCCACCGUAAGGUGCGAGGAAGGUGGGGAUGACGUCAAAUCAGCACGGCCCUUACGUCCGGGGCUACACACGUGUUACAAUGGGUGGUACAGAGAGUAAGUCCCCAGCAAUGUGGAUUCAAUCAUGAAAGCCAUCCUCAGUUCGGAUUGGGGUCUGCAACCCGACCCCAUGAAGCUGGAUUCGCUAGUAAUCGCGCAUCAGCCAUGGCGCGGUGAAUACGUUCCCGGGCCUUGUACACACCGCCCGU